AUGAAGAUGUGAUUGAUUCUGAUGAAGAAUUGGACUUGGCUUCAAUGGUAACUGCUAAAUAGAGAGCAUCUAAGGUUUUUAAAAUGGGAAAAUCAGCAAUUUUGGAGUUGUUGGUGUAUUCUCUCCAUGAUUUUGUUGUGUGUCAAUUAUUUGUUACUUCAAGUAGAUUUUUUUUUUGGGCUAGCUGCCUUGAAUGUGGAAUAAUACAAGUUAUAAUGAUUUUUAGACAAUAAAAA
RNAcentral lists this unclassified non-coding RNA (236 nucleotides) under Hevea brasiliensis (rubber tree). Lineage: Eukaryota; Viridiplantae; Streptophyta; Magnoliopsida; Malpighiales; Euphorbiaceae. The record is from RNAcentral.